UGCAAGUGUGUUUUGCAAACACACCCAGGAACCAUUUUGUCUGCUAAACAAUCAUCUCCUGGGGGAGCCCCCCCAACACACACUCUCACACACACACUCACACUCAUGUGCACUCACACACACACUCACAUGCACUCACACACACACUCAUGUGCACUCACAUGCACUCACACUCAGCCCACACACUCACACUCACAUGUGCACUCACACACACUCAUGUGCGCUCACACACAAUGCACUCACUCACAGCCCACACUCACACUCACACACACUCAUGUGCACUCACACUCAUGUAUACUCACACUCAUAUAUACUCACACUUACACACCCACACACACAUGCACGUACACUCACACCCACACAUACUCAUAUGCACACACAUGCACUCACACUCACACCCAUAUCCACACUCACACACACUCAUGUGUGCUCACACACACUCAUACACUAUGUGCACUCGCACACACACACACUCAUGUGCGCUCACACACUCACAUGCCCUCAUACACUUAUGUGCACUCACACACACACUCAUGUGCGCUCACACACACUCACAUGCACUCAUACACUUAUGUGCACUCACACACACACUCAUGUGCACUCACACACACUCACAUGCACUCAUACACUUAUGUGCACUCACACUCACACACACACACUUGUGCACUCACAUACACCUACUCACACGCACUCACACACCCACACACACUUUCACACACACAGGAAGGGGUCCUGUUUGUAAAUGAUUAAAGAGUUAAUGGACCCUGUGCAGUUAAAGGGAGUUUGUGUUUGCUGUUCAUUCUUAAAAUGCAUCUAAUUCUCUCUUUAGCCUCAAGUAGCCAGUUUCAGCGCUCAGGACAAGCCCCAGCCAGAGCCAGCCUGGCCGAGUCCACACAAGCUGGGCUCUUUCGCCACAGGGAAAGAUUUGGAGGGCUGCCAAGGUCAAUAGGAGACCCACCCCUGGUGCUCGUGUGCCUCCUGGCAGGAUUUCCUGUCCCUUUGGUGGCAAAGUUGCCCCUGCUGUGUGACAAUUGCACCAUCUGCACGGACCCAGCGGGGAUAGACAACAUGAAGCAAGAAUCCAUGUGUAGCUAGCCCACCCCACCCAGCCUGCUCUAACUUCUGGAACCAUGACUGCUGCAGAAUGCUCUUGAGCAAAAGGAAAUGACUGUAAGAACUGCUCAGUGAUUACACUGGAGAGAUGUCACAAACUGUAGAAUAGAAUUGCUUAAAAGCAAAGCACAACUUUCAAGGUGCAAAACCAAAUGCCCAGAAAAGAGACCAACAGAGCUAAUUUGCAGGGACUGCUUUCUGGAGUAGCAGCCUUCAGCGGUUCUGCAGCUAGCUCCUGUUCAUCUGACCUUUGGUUCCUGGGACUUGAGCUACCAGUUUACCUGCUGAUCUUAGGAUUCGUCAGCCUCUGCGGCCUGUGAGCUAGUGGCCUGCCAGCUUACUUGCUGAUCUUGGGAUUUGUCAGCCUCCGCAGCCUGUGAGCCAGAGAUCUGUUGUCCGACCUGCUGAUCUUGGAUUCACCAGCCCCUGCAGCUAUGUGAGUCAGGAGAAGCCUUUAGCCUGACUCAUGGACUUGGAACAUUCCAGCCUCUACAACCGUAAAAGAAGGAAAAAGGACAGAAAGAAGGAAGAAAAGGAAGGAAAAGAAGAAAAGAAGGAAGGGAGAAAAGAAAAAAGGAAGAGAGGGAGAAAGAAACUAUGCUCCUAUGACUCCUCACCUGCUCCUGUGCUGGCCGUUAGGGUAGAGCUGCUUCAUCACUUUGACUUACUAAUAAUUGUUGUUAUUAUCUUUCCGUGGAGGGUUUUAACUGACUGAUUUAUUUUUAAUGUGGUUUGGGAAUCUCGAGCUAAGAGAUGUAAUGGUUUGCGAAUUUUAUUUUUUUAGUUUUUGAGGAGAGAUGAAGGAUUUUCACUUUCAAUGGAACGUGAGUGUCACUGAAUAUAUCUAUAAUCAGCGUGACUGAGACCCAGGACACAAUGAUGAUUUGGGCAAGGGAUUUUUGGUGAUUGUCUCAGAGACCUGUGUCAUAUUGGUAGAGCAUUAUAAUUUGCAUGCCACAGUCACACUCAUUAUCCCAUUUAGAUAGCAUAACUAUGACUCAAUUCAGGAUUAAUAAAGGGAAGUUGGAAAUUUUUUUAGCUCACAUAAAAAGAAGUCCAGAGAAAGACACUGCCACCCACCCUGUCAAAGUUUUCCUAAGGCUGGUGGAAUAGCUUCUAGUACUAAUGAGGCCUACCAGCUUGUGCAUGCUGACACAUGCCUUGUUCAUGCCAAUUCAUGCCUUGUUCAUGCCUGGGGUAGACAGCUUUCUGUGGUGCCAUUUUCUUAAGAGCAAGGGUGCUGAUUUCCCAGAAUCCUCCAGGAAUCCUCUCCUCUUGUCUCACUGGCACAGAAUGGCUUAGCCAGGGCCAUUUCUAAAAAUAGACAUCUUUGGUUUAGACUUAUCAGCUGGAAUGUAAUAGAUAUUGAGCAGUUAACACAAUGCCCUUUCCAUAGGUCCAUUUUCUAGAUUUUGGUUGACAAACCAGACCCCUUGGGGUAACUCUGCCUGGCUGCCUGUGUUCAUGAUGGAAGUUUCAUCAGAACACAGCCAUGCUGUAUUGUUUCUGGCUGCUUUCAUACUACAAUGGAGACCCUGGUGGCAUAGUGGUUAGGAGCUAUGGCUGCUAACCAAAAGGUCGGCAGUUCAAGUCCACCAGGCACUCCAUAUGGGGCAGUUCUAUUCUGUCCUAUAAGGUCGCUUCAAGUUGGAAUUGGCUCCACGGCAAUGGGUUUUUGUUUUUUCGUGUUACAACAGCAGAAUUGAGUACUACUUAUGACAGAGGCUGUAUGGUCCAUAAAGUCUAAAAAAUUUACUAUCUGGCCCUUUAGAGAAAGUUAUUGACCCUUGCUCUAUAUGAAGAAAGUGGAGCUGAGGAUAAUGACUCUCCCAAAGUCAAAGAGCUAAUAAGAGGUUGAGACUAGAUUUUAACCCAGAUGCCCAAAGCUCUCUGCACUAGCAGAAGACUUUCUCAGGAUAAGCUUGCAUUUUUUUUUUUUUUUUGUGAUGGUGAGCUAAUGCAGCC
Long non-coding RNA from Loxodonta africana (African savanna elephant), 3078 nucleotides. RefSeq lists it as uncharacterized. NCBI's taxonomy places the organism in Eukaryota, Metazoa, Chordata, Mammalia, Proboscidea, Elephantidae. The transcript is spliced from 3 exons. The record is from RefSeq and is a predicted model, not a curated record.